GGUUGGAUAUACGGUACUUAAAAGCUAUGAAUAUACUUAGCACGCAUAUCCUCUAUUAAAAGUUUAAAAGUAGUCAGAUGUCUUUCUCAUUGUUGUGGGCAGUCACAGAUUUAUUAGGAGAGGUACAGCAGCAUCUCCAAGUAACUUAUGGUGGGAUCAUCAUCUAUUUAUCACCAAACUCCCAACAGACAAGAAUAAAAAGACUCAGGUUCAUCAAAUUGUGUCUGUAGUUCAAGUUCCUGUAUAUCACUUGCUUAUCCUUCAUUCUAUCAUUGUUCAAGUUGAGAUCUUGGACUUUUAUUUGUCCAAUUCUGAAACUAUGUUUUUUUAUUGUUAUAAUACUCAGUUCUAAAGCAGAAAAGUAGUAAGUAUUGUUAUUAGGAGGCAUAUAUACAAAUCCUACCUUCAAAAGCAUAGCAUAAAGGCUUAAGCACUGUAAAAAAGAUAUGGCUGCCUACUUGAUCUUAGCAUUUGUUGCAUGAUUAUGCAGUCCUUCUCCUUACCUUUGUAUAUGUAUGAAGUUAAGAUAGCUUUAUACUUUACCUAUAAUUGUAUUAGCCUUUCCUUUGAGUCUUGUACAUUGUUCAAAGUCUGUUUCCCACUUCUUCUUGAUAGUAGCUACAGCGGCCAUUUUAUUUUAUCCACCUACACGAUAACUGCACAUGGGUGGUAGUAAUGGCGUCAAGUGCUCUUCAAGUGUCCAUGUGCUUUGAUUUUACUUCUCCUUUUCUAUAACUGCGCUCUAGUUGUAUCAUAUAUCAAAAUACCAGGGUUUUGGAAAGGAUCAUAAUGCAAAAAAACCGCUGUCUGUAGCAUUUAAAAUAAGAAAGUUAUUACAUUAUGCAGAUUUAAAAGUCAAAGUGGCCCUAGUAUAGGUGUGUUAUGGGUUAAAAAUAGACAUCCAGAGAUAUUCUUCAGAAAAGUCUCGAGAAGGUCAUCUGUCUAAUGACUUUUUAAGAUUUGAGUAGUCCCCAUUCUAGGAAAACUUUGGCUGCAUAAAGCUAUCUUUCGAAGCUUCUACAUUGAUGACACAACAGCUAUUAUGAUGAGAUGUCUAGAUUGAUGUGACUAUUAUCCAAUGUACUGAGUGUUUUUAAUCUUAAUUUUCUCUUAAGCUGUGUUUUAUUGAGGACAUCAAGAAUAGGUCGGACCUACGGUGGAAUUUCUCCCUCUGGCAACUUCACUAUGACUAAUAACAAAAAUCUGUGGCAUUAGUAUUAUUCCCUAGAAAUCUACAAUGAAGUGACUAUUUUUGUCCUGUGGAUAUUUGGAAAGCUGUUUCUACAGUGAAGAAUACUGCCGUUUAUUGAUUAUUUUUGAUAAACUUGCUAUGCAUGCAACUUUUAUUUGAUUCCAACUAUUAGUUUUUACAUUAUAGAAU
Molecule: long non-coding RNA, 1381 nt
Organism: Amphimedon queenslandica
Lineage: Eukaryota; Metazoa; Porifera; Demospongiae; Haplosclerida; Niphatidae
Exons: 2
Source: RefSeq, a predicted model, not a curated record